ACUUCCUUCAUCAACCUCUCAAAAUAACUAGCCAAUUUCCUUUUCUUCUUCACACUACCAUCGGAUUCUUUCCCCGAGGACGAGGUCGUGGACGUGGAUGUGGACAUGAACCCCGGAUUAAAACCCCGAACUCGACUAUGAUCCAUUCCAAAAUCCUGACAUCCACUAGCAGCUGGUUUUAUCAUUGUCAUUGGCAUAGGCAUUGGUACAGGCAUUGUUUCCAUUCUAUUGAUUUGGCUAUGGUUUAAUGGAGGCGAUGAAAACAAGGAUUGGCUAUCUAAAAGCUCUAAUUGCUCGAAAAAUCGAUAGUUUUUCCCAGUUUGUCUACCAGAUCUACCAUCUUUAGUUCUCUUAUGAUACUUAUAAAUGUUCUCAAACUUCUCCCUGCAUUUCUUCGCAUUUCGAUUAUACCCAAGCUCAGCCAUCUUCCUAGAAAUUUCAUCCCAGAGAGGGCUUUUGAGAUUGGAAUCACGAAAUGCAACAUCCAUUUCCGAUCUUAUUUUGAGUAAAGCCAAAGUUUCUUCAUGUGGCCAACGAUUUCCACCUGAAAAAUUCUUAUCUUCUUCCUCUGAACCUCCACCGACACUUCCACCACCACCACCACCUUCAUUCUUCAGCUCCGACGCUUCACCAUCGGCGCCGGUGACGGCGCCACCAGCAGCUGUAUUCUCCAACAAAACAGAACUUUCUAGCAUUUUUUUUUCUUCUUACAAAG
Molecule: unclassified non-coding RNA, 715 nt
Filed under: Hevea brasiliensis (rubber tree)
Lineage: Eukaryota; Viridiplantae; Streptophyta; Magnoliopsida; Malpighiales; Euphorbiaceae
Source: RNAcentral